This 2924-nucleotide ribosomal RNA is filed under the name Salmonella enterica subsp. enterica serovar Senftenberg str. CFSAN004025. Its description in RNAcentral is "23S ribosomal RNA". It matches the Rfam family "Bacterial large subunit ribosomal RNA". The record is from RNAcentral. Lineage: Bacteria; Pseudomonadati; Pseudomonadota; Gammaproteobacteria; Enterobacterales; Enterobacteriaceae.
GGGUUGUGAGGUUAAGCGACUAAGCGUACACGGUGGAUGCCCUGGCAGUCAGAGGCGAUGAAGGACGUGCUAAUCUGCGAUAAGCGCCGGUAAGGUGAUAUGAACCGUUAUAACCGGCGAUUUCCGAAUGGGGAAACCCAGUGUGAUUCGUCACACUAUCAUUAACUGAAUCCAUAGGUUAAUGAGGCGAACCGGGGGAACUGAAACAUCUAAGUACCCCGAGGAAAAGAAAUCAACCGAGAUUCCCCCAGUAGCGGCGAGCGAACGGGGAGGAGCCCAGAGCCUGAAUCAGCAUGUGUGUUAGUGGAAGCGUCUGGAAAGGCGCGCGAUACAGGGUGACAGCCCCGUACACAAAAGCGCACAUGCUGUGAGCUCGAUGAGUAGGGCGGGACACGUGGUAUCCUGUCUGAAUAUGGGGGGACCAUCCUCCAAGGCUAAAUACUCCUGACUGACCGAUAGUGAACCAGUACCGUGAGGGAAAGGCGAAAAGAACCCCGGCGAGGGGAGUGAAAAAGAACCUGAAACCGUGUACGUACAAGCAGUGGGAGCACCCUUUGGGGUGUGACUGCGUACCUUUUGUAUAAUGGGUCAGCGACUUAUAUUCUGUAGCAAGGUUAACCGUAUAGGGGAGCCGGAGGGAAACCGAGUCUUAACCGGGCGUUAAGUUGCAGGGUAUAGACCCGAAACCCGGUGAUCUAGCCAUGGGCAGGUUGAAGGUUGGGUAACACUAACUGGAGGACCGAACCGACUAAUGUUGAAAAAUUAGCGGAUGACCUGUGGCUGGGGGUGAAAGGCCAAUCAAACCGGGAGAUAGCUGGUUCUCCCCGAAAGCUAUUUAGGUAGCGCCUCGUGAAUUCAUCUCCGGGGGUAGAGCACUGUUUCGGCUAGGGGGCCAUCCCGGCUUACCAACCCGAUGCAAACUGCGAAUACCGGAGAAUGUUAUCACGGGAGACACACGGCGGGUGCUAACGUCCGUCGUGAAGAGGGAAACAACCCAGACCGCCAGCUAAGGUCCCAAAGUCAUGGUUAAGUGGGAAACGAUGUGGGAAGGCCCAGACAGCCAGGAUGUUGGCUUAGAAGCAGCCAUCAUUUAAAGAAAGCGUAAUAGCUCACUGGUCGAGUCGGCCUGCGCGGAAGAUGUAACGGGGCUAAACCAUGCACCGAAGCUGCGGCAGCGACACUGUGUGUUGUUGGGUAGGGGAGCGUUCUGUAAGCCUGUGAAGGUGGCCUGUGAGGGUUGCUGGAGGUAUCAGAAGUGCGAAUGCUGACAUAAGUAACGAUAAAGCGGGUGAAAAGCCCGCUCGCCGGAAGACCAAGGGUUCCUGUCCAACGUUAAUCGGGGCAGGGUGAGUCGACCCCUAAGGCGAGGCCGAAAGGCGUAGUCGAUGGGAAACGGGUUAAUAUUCCCGUACUUGGUGUUACUGCGAAGGGGGGACGGAGAAGGCUAUGUUGGCCGGGCGACGGUUGUCCCGGUUUAAGCGUGUAGGCUGGUUUUCCAGGCAAAUCCGGAAAAUCAAGGCUGAGGCGUGAUGACGAGGCACUACGGUGCUGAAGCAACAAAUGCCCUGCUUCCAGGAAAAGCCUCUAAGCAUCAGGUAACAUCAAAUCGUACCCCAAACCGACACAGGUGGUCAGGUAGAGAAUACCAAGGCGCUUGAGAGAACUCGGGUGAAGGAACUAGGCAAAAUGGUGCCGUAACUUCGGGAGAAGGCACGCUGACACGUAGGUGAAGUGAUUUACUCAUGGAGCUGAAGUCAGUCGAAGAUACCAGCUGGCUGCAACUGUUUAUUAAAAACACAGCACUGUGCAAACACGAAAGUGGACGUAUACGGUGUGACGCCUGCCCGGUGCCGGAAGGUUAAUUGAUGGGGUCAGCGCAAGCGAAGCUCCUGAUCGAAGCCCCGGUAAACGGCGGCCGUAACUAUAACGGUCCUAAGGUAGCGAAAUUCCUUGUCGGGUAAGUUCCGACCUGCACGAAUGGCGUAAUGAUGGCCAGGCUGUCUCCACCCGAGACUCAGUGAAAUUGAACUCGCUGUGAAGAUGCAGUGUACCCGCGGCAAGACGGAAAGACCCCGUGAACCUUUACUAUAGCUUGACACUGAACAUUGAGCCUUGAUGUGUAGGAUAGGUGGGAGGCUUUGAAGUGUGGACGCCAGUCUGCAUGGAGCCGACCUUGAAAUACCACCCUUUAAUGUUUGAUGUUCUAACGUGGACCCGUAAUCCGGGUUGCGGACAGUGUCUGGUGGGUAGUUUGACUGGGGCGGUCUCCUCCUAAAGAGUAACGGAGGAGCACGAAGGUUGGCUAAUCCUGGUCGGACAUCAGGAGGUUAGUGCAAUGGCAUAAGCCAGCUUGACUGCGAGCGUGACGGCGCGAGCAGGUGCGAAAGCAGGUCAUAGUGAUCCGGUGGUUCUGAAUGGAAGGGCCAUCGCUCAACGGAUAAAAGGUACUCCGGGGAUAACAGGCUGAUACCGCCCAAGAGUUCAUAUCGACGGCGGUGUUUGGCACCUCGAUGUCGGCUCAUCACAUCCUGGGGCUGAAGUAGGUCCCAAGGGUAUGGCUGUUCGCCAUUUAAAGUGGUACGCGAGCUGGGUUUAGAACGUCGUGAGACAGUUCGGUCCCUAUCUGCCGUGGGCGCUGGAGAACUGAGGGGGGCUGCUCCUAGUACGAGAGGACCGGAGUGGACGCAUCACUGGUGUUCGGGUUGUCAUGCCAAUGGCACUGCCCGGUAGCUAAAUGCGGAAGAGAUAAGUGCUGAAAGCAUCUAAGCACGAAACUUGCCCCGAGAUGAGUUCUCCCUGAGACUUAAAGUCUCCUGAAGGAACGUUGAAGACGACGACGUUGAUAGGCCGGGUGUGUAAGCGCAGCGAUGCGUUGAGCUAACCGGUACUAAUGAACCGUGAGGCUUAACCUUACAACGCCGAAG